Molecule: non-coding RNA, 29 nt
Filed under: Mus musculus (house mouse)
Lineage: Eukaryota; Metazoa; Chordata; Mammalia; Rodentia; Muridae
Source: RNAcentral
UAAAUAGCAAAUGGGAUUCUUCCUCAGGU